Long non-coding RNA from Megalobrama amblycephala (Wuchang bream), 863 nucleotides. RefSeq lists it as uncharacterized. The transcript has 3 exons. The record is from RefSeq and is a predicted model, not a curated record. NCBI's taxonomy places the organism in Eukaryota, Metazoa, Chordata, Actinopteri, Cypriniformes, Xenocyprididae.
UGAAGGACGAGAAAGGACUAAGUUAGGCCUGGACUUUAUUUUAUGUUUUAUUAUGUUUGUGUGGCCGGCAGACGUCCGCGAGGGUCUGCCGGCAUUACUUUCCUCGAACCCGGAGACCCGGGUUCGAGGCCCGCGCAGAGCGGGGCGAGUAGGACCUGGGUCAGGGGUUACAUAUAUAUCUUUCAAAUAUGGCAAAACAAAAGAGAGACGAUGGUAUUGGUGCUGCUAGUUGGAAUUAUGCAAUGGAGGAAAGGUUUGUGGAGCUAUGGCGACAAUAUGAUGCCUUGAUGUUUCCUCGAGGGACUACCACGACAGAGGGGAAAAAAGAUAAAUGCUGGAGAACGAUAGCAGAGCAAUCGUUGCACUUCAGCAAUCAGGUCUCUCAUUAAAGGUCUACUGGAUCCAGCCUAUUUCAGUGGCUCCCUGUCAUUUUACAAGACUCAAGCAAUGAAGACCUUUCAUCACUCCUCCAGCCCCAUCCUCGCCCCGCACCAGUGCGUUAGCACUGACCUCAACUGCGGUUCAGCCAUUUCACUUCUAUGUGGUGUGACGGCCAACACACUCUUCCCUACCAAUAAGCUGACUGAAGUUUACUGAUGGCUUUGUUCAGUGCCUUCUCAAUUCCCUACUCCUUUCUAGCUGUCAAAAAAUGUUGUUAACCCUUCUUCCCCUGACAGAAUCAACAGCUUGGAAGUGUUAGCCUGCUUGGUCUUCUCAACAUUAAGGCAGAAACAUGAAACAGUGCUAAAAUAAAACGUUAAAGGAGUCUUGGUCAAUUUUGCUUUCUAGUCCACCCUGAAUUUAAAGGGUUAGUUCACCCAAAAAUGAAAAUAAUGCCAUUUAUUACUCACCCUCAUGUCGUU